GCCCUUAUAGUUAAAUGGAUAUAACAGCUCCGUCCUAAGGAGUAGUUGUCGGUUCGAUUCCGGCUAAGGGCA
This 72-nucleotide transfer RNA is filed under the name Candidatus Taylorbacteria bacterium RIFCSPHIGHO2_01_FULL_51_15. Its description in RNAcentral is "tRNA-Arg". It matches the Rfam family "tRNA". From Rfam's summary of the family: Transfer RNA (tRNA) molecules are approximately 80 nucleotides in length. Their secondary structure includes four short double-helical elements and three loops (D, anti-codon, and T loops). Lineage: Bacteria; Candidatus Tayloriibacteriota. RNAcentral also lists the same sequence under 1 other name. The record is from RNAcentral.